CUUCCUCCCACGCCACACACUCUCCCACCUAAACCUAAACCUAAACCUAGGUCACCUGCUGCCGCCGGCCCCUGACUUGCCGGCCGAUUUGCUCGCGCUGCCGCCUCUCCCACCACCAACGGCGCCUCCCAAAGCAGGAGAUCCACCGUGACCGAAGCAGGUCAGGCGGCGGCCCUGGCGCACCUAGAUCGGCCAGCGCCUUCCGACGUCGAGCUCCUCUGCUCCCAGCGCCAGAUCCACCUAUGGCUCCAUCUCCACAACCACGCACCGGCAGCCGCCAUGGAAGGUGCUCUAUGUGCUUGCUUCUUCCCUUCCGGGGAUGCCGCUACUCUGACGCCAUGGACAAAUGAUUACAAAAUGUUGAUGCAAACCAGCUCCAGAAUGAGCUCAAGGCAUAGAGGAAGAAUGAGGAGGAGGAGAUGAGCACACUUCUGAACCACUACCUUCAUUUCUGUGCAGUUCUAGAAGGAGCUCAAACCUAUUUCUCAUGCCUCUGAAUUUCCUUUUUCUUGUACUGGAUAUCUUCUUGUUCUUUCACUCCUGACCAAUAGACUUCUAAUCUAGGUGCUCAUUAUUUCUACUUGUUUGUUGUCUCAGGGAUCACAAGUUUAAUGUUUACUAAAUCAAGAAACCUUCUGAAUCUGCUAACAUAGCCUCCAUUUACUCUCUGCUCAAGUCUGUUUGUGGCAUAUCUUAUUUUAACUUCUGUUUUAGUCUGCUCAAGUGGAGAUCUCCGUAAACUUCAGAAAUCAUAGUCACGAAAUUGUAGGGAUAAAAGGGGUAAUGGAAAAUUGCAUUUCUCUAGUCUUAGUUUGUUCUUCCUUGGCGCCCUACUAUUUACAUUUUUUUCUAUUUGGUAUGUAUAUUAGUAAUGAAUGUCCACUUCUCCUAUCUAUAUUUUCAUAACUAUGUUUCUUAAUUAUACUACUAAUUCACACGAAGUUGUUUGGUGGAUAGUGCAGUUUUAACCUGCUGCUUCUCGAUAAAAGUUGUUGCCAUGUAUUUAACUCAUCACAUAAUUUGCUCAGUAUGCAUAUUUUGCACUAUUUUUUAUUAAGCAUCAUGGUCUGAUAUGUGCUACUUGCAGGAGAAAAGAUGGAAGGAACAAGAGGUGGAAGUGAGCUCCCAGCAUAUGAACAAUCGAGGCUUGCAAGUAUUGCAAAAAACAAAAGCUGAAGAACUUGGCUAUGACAUGCAGAGAGAUGAAAUAUUUGUCAGAGCACAUACACGUAAAAUUGGAGUUCCUACCGCACAAGCGGAGACAUUAAUUAAAUAAAUUAGGUGCCUCAUUUGCUCUAUUUUUUGGAGAAACAACCUGAAGAAACAGCUGAACCACCAACAACACUUGCAAUGGAAAUUCAAUUUCAUCGACAAGAUGAACAAGUUUCUACUCUACUAGGGCACACAGAAAAAAUGCAACGAUAAAUUGGAGAGAUGCAUCAAGUUCUCUUUUCUCAAGGCAUCAGAAAUGUGGAAACACUAGGGACAAAUGGUAGAAAGUAGCAAGUCCACUGGCUGAUUGAAUAUGUUCUCGUGAUUGCUUUUAUUGGGAACAUGGAUGACACAUUUUGUUCAUACGGAAGUUGAUUUGGUUUGGCAAUUGAAGAGUUGGUCUUCCAUAAUAUUCUGUAGCAGUAGCAGUCCAGUGAACAAGCACUUGGUCUCUUAUGAACUUUGGCCAUUAUGUUUGUAACAUGUCUCUCUUGUAUA
This is a long non-coding RNA of Triticum dicoccoides, 1710 nucleotides long. RefSeq lists it as uncharacterized. The transcript has 6 exons. The record is from RefSeq and is a predicted model, not a curated record. NCBI's taxonomy places the organism in Eukaryota, Viridiplantae, Streptophyta, Magnoliopsida, Poales, Poaceae.